GAUGAACGCUGGCGGCGUGCUAAUACAUGCAAGUAGAACGCUGAAGCUUGGUGCUUGCACCGAGCGGAAGAGUUGCGAACGGGUGAGUAACGCGUAGGUAACCUGCCUCUUAGCGGGGGAUAACUAUUGGAAACGAUAGCUAAUACCGCAUAAAAGUCGGCAUUGCAUGAUGUUGACUUGAAAGGUGCAACUGCAUCACUAAGAGAUGGACCUGCGUUGUAUUAGCUAGUUGGUGAGGUAACGGCUCACCAAGGCGACGAUACAUAGCCGACCUGAGAGGGUGAUCGGCCACACUGGGACUGAGACACGGCCCAGACUCCUACGGGAGGCAGCAGUAGGGAAUCUUCGGCAAUGGACGGAAGUCUGACCGAGCAACGCCGCGUGAGUGAAGAAGGUUUUCGGAUCGUAAAGCUCUGUUGUAAGAGAAGAACGAGUGUGAGGGUGGAAAGUUCACACUGUGACGGUAACUUACCAGAAAGGGACGGCUAACUACGUGCCAGCAGCCGCGGUAAUACGUAGGUCCCGAGCGUUAUCCGGAUUUAUUGGGCGUAAAGCGAGCGCAGGCGGUUAGAUAAGUCUGAAGUUAAAGGCUGUGGCUUAACCAUAGUACGCUUUGGAAACUGUUUAACUUGAGUGCAGAAGGGGAAAGUGGAAUUCCAUGUGUAGCGGUGAAAUGCGUAGAUAUAUGGAGGAACACCGGUGGCGAAAGCGGCUCUCUGGUCUGUAACUGACGCUGAGGCUCGAAAGCGUGGGGAGCAAACAGG
This 764-nucleotide ribosomal RNA is filed under the name uncultured Streptococcus sp. Its description in RNAcentral is "bacterial SSU rRNA". It matches the Rfam family "Bacterial small subunit ribosomal RNA", at positions 28 to 776 of the family's 1533-position model. Lineage: Bacteria; Bacillati; Bacillota; Bacilli; Lactobacillales; Streptococcaceae. The record is from RNAcentral.